RNAcentral lists this long non-coding RNA (1169 nucleotides) under Homo sapiens (human). RNAcentral's name for it is "long non-coding RNA NONHSAT220908.1". The record is from RNAcentral. Lineage: Eukaryota; Metazoa; Chordata; Mammalia; Primates; Hominidae.
AACAAAUACAGCUGGAAGCAAUGUUACUACAUCAUCAACUCCUAAUAGUAACUCUACAUCUGGUUCUGCUACUAGCAACCCUUUUGGUUUAGGUGGCCUUGGGGGACUUGCAGGUCUGAGUAGCUUGGGUUUGAAUACUACCAACUUCUCUGAACUACAGAGUCAGAUGCAGCGACAACUUUUGUCUAACCCUGAAAUGAUGGUCCAGAUCAUGGAAAAUCCCUUUGUUCAGAGCAUGCUCUCAAAUCCUGACCUGAUGAGACAGUUAAUUAUGGCCAAUCCACAAAUGCAGCAGUUGAUACAGAGAAAUCCAGAAAUUAGUCAUAUGUUGAAUAAUCCAGAUAUAAUGAGACAAACGUUGGAACUUGCCAGGAAUCCAGCAAUGAUGCAGGAGAUGAUGAGGAACCAGGACCGAGCUUUGAGCAACCUAGAAAGCAUCCCAGGGGGAUAUAAUGCUUUAAGGCGCAUGUACACAGAUAUUCAGGAACCAAUGCUGAGUGCUGCACAAGAGCAGUUUGGUGGUAAUCCAUUUGCUUCCUUGGUGAGCAAUACAUCCUCUGGUGAAGGUAGUCAACCUUCCCGUACAGAAAAUAGAGAUCCACUACCCAAUCCAUGGGCUCCACAGACUUCCCAGAGUUCAUCAGCUUCCAGCGGCACUGCCAGCACUGUGGGUGGCACUACUGGUAGUACUGCCAGUGGCACUUCUGGGCAGAGUACUACUGCGCCAAAUUUGGUGCCUGGAGUAGGAGCUAGUAUGUUCAACACACCAGGAAUGCAGAGCUUGUUGCAACAAAUAACUGAAAACCCACAACUGAUGCAAAACAUGUUGUCUGCCCCCUACAUGAGAAGCAUGAUGCAGUCACUAAGCCAGAAUCCUGACCUUGCUGCACAGAUGAUGCUGAAUAAUCCCCUAUUUGCUGGAAAUCCUCAGCUUCAAGAACAAAUGAGACAACAGCUCCCAACUUUCCUCCAACAAAUGCAGAAUCCUGAUACACUAUCAGCAAUGUCAAACCCUAGAGCAAUGCAGGCCUUGUUACAGAUUCAGCAGGGUUUACAGACAUUAGCAACGGAAGCCCCGGGCCUCAUCCCAGGGUUUACUCCUGGCUUGGGGGCAUUAGGAAGCACUGGAGGCUCUUCGGGAACUAAUGGAUCUAACGCCACACCUAGUG